UAAGGAAUAUUGGUCAAUGGACGCAAGUCUGAACCAGCCAUGCCGCGUGGAGGAUGAAGGCCCUCUGGGUUGUAAACUUCUUUUAUCUGGGACGAAAAAAGGUCUUUCUAGAUCACUUGACGGUACCAGAGGAAUAAGCACCGGCUAACUCCGUGCCAGCAGCCGCGGUAAUACGGAGGGUGCAAGCGUUAUCCGGAUUCACUGGGUUUAAAGGGUGCGUAGGUGGGUUGGUAAGUCAGUGGUGAAAUCUCCGAGCUUAACUUGGAAACUGCCAUUGAUACUAUCAGUCUUGAAUACCGUGGAGGUCAGCGGAAUAUGUCAUGUAGCGGUGAAAUGCUUAGAUAUGACAUAGAACACCAAUUGCGAAGGCAGCUGGCUACACGAAUAUUGACACUGAGGCACGAAAGCGUGGGGAUCAAACA
This 422-nucleotide ribosomal RNA is filed under the name uncultured Terrimonas sp. RNAcentral's name for it is "bacterial SSU rRNA". It matches the Rfam family "Bacterial small subunit ribosomal RNA", at positions 355 to 774 of the family's 1533-position model. The record is from RNAcentral. Lineage: Bacteria; Pseudomonadati; Bacteroidota; Chitinophagia; Chitinophagales; Chitinophagaceae.